CCUACGGGGGGCAGCAGUGGGGAAUAUUGGACAAUGGGGGCAACCCUGAUCCAGCCAUGCCGCGUGUGUGAAGAAGGCCCUCGGGUUGUAAAGCACUUUCAGUGAGGAAGAACGCCUGGUGGUUAAUACCCAUCAGGAAAGACAUCACUCACAGAAGAAGCACCGGCUAACUCCGUGCCAGCAGCCGCGGUAAUACGGAGGGUGCGAGCGUUAAUCGGAAUUACUGGGCGUAAAGCGCGCGUAGGUGGCUUGAUAAGCCGGUUGUGAAAGCCCCGAGCUCAACCUGGGAACGGCAUCCGGAACUGUCAAGCUAGAGUGCAGGAGAGGAAGGUAGAAUUCCCGGUGUAGCGGUGAAAUGCGUAGAGAUCGGGAGGAAUACCAGUGGCGAAGGCGGCCUUCUGGACUGACACUGACACUGAGGUGCGAAAGCGUGGGUAGCAAACAGGAUUAGAUACCCCAGUAGUC
Molecule: ribosomal RNA, 465 nt
Filed under: Vreelandella stevensii
Lineage: Bacteria; Pseudomonadati; Pseudomonadota; Gammaproteobacteria; Oceanospirillales; Halomonadaceae
Description: partial 16S ribosomal RNA
Rfam family: Bacterial small subunit ribosomal RNA
Source: RNAcentral